UAUUGUAACUAAAAGCACGUGAAUUUACAAAAUCCUGGAAGAGAUCAAGGUCUAUCAAAAGUAGAACAGGGCAGCAAGGCAAACAUACAACCAUAUUUUUUGCAUUUUUUAUGUGAAGGACAACCUUGACCCAAAAAUAGACAUGAAACCAGGAAAAGGCUAAACUCACAUUAACUUUUAACCUGAAGAAACAACAAGACAACAAAAAAGAUAAGAAGACAGAAAAAUAAAGGCUCACGAUAUUCAAAGUUU
This 252-nucleotide long non-coding RNA is filed under the name Eucalyptus grandis. Its description in RNAcentral is "long non-coding RNA (EGRA_LNC006715)". Lineage: Eukaryota; Viridiplantae; Streptophyta; Magnoliopsida; Myrtales; Myrtaceae. The record is from RNAcentral.